Molecule: ribosomal RNA, 446 nt
Filed under: uncultured bacterium
Lineage: Bacteria
Description: partial 16S ribosomal RNA
Rfam family: Bacterial small subunit ribosomal RNA
Source: RNAcentral
CCUACGGGAGGCAGCAGUCGAGAAUCAUUCACAAUGGGGGAAACCCUGAUGGUGCGACGCCGCGUGGGGGAAUGAAGGUCUUCGGAUUGUAAACCCCUGUCAUGUGGGAGCAAAUUAAAAAGAUAGUACCACAAGAGGAAGAGACUGCUAACUCUGUGCCAGCAGCCGCGGUAAUACAGAGGUCUCAAGCGGUGUUCGGAAUCACGGGGCGUAAAGCGUGCGUAGGCUGUUUCGUAAGUCGUGUGUGAAAGGCGCGGGCUCAACCCGCGGACGGCACAUGAUACUGCGAGACUAGAGUAAGGGAGGGGGAACCGGAAUUCUCGGUGUAGCAGUGAAAUGCGUAGAUAUCGAGAGGAACACUCGUGGCGAAGGCGGGUUCCUGGACAUUAACUGACGCUGAGGCACGAAGGCCAGGGGAGCGAAAGGGAUUAGAUACCCGUGUAGUC